AGGUAUGUAAUAGCUUAUUACCUAUUCGAAAUAAGGUAAGUUAGUUAUUUGAUAUGCAAUGCAAUUUAUUACAUGCUGCUAAUGUAAAUGUAAGUAUAUUUGUGAAGUAUAUUCGGCUACAUGAUAAGUAUAAGUAUGAGAUAUUAAAGUUUGAUUCAAGAACAUAUGCUUAUGAGUGUGUAUAUAUUUGAUUAUAGAAUGGUACCAUGGUUUUGAAAUUGAAUGUUACCUUGAUAAUAGAUAUAGUACAUUCGGCCAAAGGUUAUGUAUAAUGAUGUUAUAUUUGUGACCUAUGCGCAAACAUAUAUAAAUGAUUAUGUACGGCCUUAAGGAUAUAAAAUAAGAAUAUUUAUGAAAUGAUCCAUGAAUAUAUGUAUAUGAGAUUAUGUAUAUUCGGUUAAAUAAUGACAUUAUGGCUUUGAGUGUGAAUGAUAUUUUGAUAUUGGAUGUAUGUAUAUUUGGCAAAAUAAAAAUAUGUAUUAUAUGAAACUGUAAGUUUGAAAUUAAAUGUGAUUAUGAUAGUAUGAAUUGGUUUGGAAAUUGAAUUAAUAUUGUUAUUGAGUCAUUAAUUUGCUUAUGGCUUACUAAGCUUUUAAAGAUUACUCUGUGUGUUUUUCCUAUGUUUAUAGAGUUUCAGAGAAUUGCUCGGGUUGGGAGUCGUAGGAGACCUCAUCACAUUAUCCAGUUUUCGCUUCGUUAGCAUUUUGCGGAACUUGACAAUCGGAUCAUCCUAAAGAUCGCACUAUCCAAUCUUUAUUUUGGUACAAUUUUAAUUGUUCAACUUGGUUAUGUGGCAUGUAUAUAAGAGUUAAGCUGUAUAUAAGUGUUUUGUAAAAUCAAAAUAUGAAUGGUGAUGUAUAAAGUAUGUGUGCUUGAUGGCAUUUUGAUAUGUU
Molecule: long non-coding RNA, 893 nt
Organism: Gossypium arboreum
Lineage: Eukaryota; Viridiplantae; Streptophyta; Magnoliopsida; Malvales; Malvaceae
Exons: 2
Source: RefSeq, a predicted model, not a curated record